CAAACUUAAAUCGUUGUGUGUCCUUAAGCAACAAAACACAAGACACAAAAACACCUAAACAACAUGCAAACUAUCUAUAUGUUCUUAAUUCCAGCAAUCCAAUAACACAAAUAUAUUCAUUAGGCCUUAGAAAAAUCACAAAAACAUGCUAAUACAUCAUGUUACUGCAAUUCAAUAUAUCCCAACAAUCAAUGAAUCUAAAUUUGUUAUUACUGAUAUUGUGAGUGUGUGUUCAACAACCAUACUAACCAAUGAACAACAAAAUACGAAAAAUAAUAAAGUUCUUAAUAGGCAUCAUACAGUUUCAACUCGAGAAUUCAUCAAAUAAACUAGAUUCAACCGAAAUUAAACAAUCACCAAAGUCCAGGGGUCAAAAUGGAAUACUUAUGCUUGUUUUUGCUAUACGGGGGCAUUUUGCACUUUUCCUACUUUAUCAUAUAUAUAUAUAUAUAUAUAUAUAUUUUCAUGACUAUGCAUUGUCUUAUCCCUUAGGCUUUUCAAUGCUACCUUAACGAGCUUUCGACCAACGACUCCCAAGCCAUUAAGACCUUAGGGCGCUAGGUGUAGAGACAAUCCCCUUGGGCUUACUUACUCAAGUAACAAAGGCCACAAAACUAGACAAGCACGCCACGGUGUUUAUUUGCCAUUUUUUUAAAGCUUAUAUACUCCAAAUAUUUUUCCCCCAAACUUGAGUUCAUAUCUAAAUUCAGUCUUUACUAGCUAUUUAACUUGUUCCUUCAUUUCACUAGCAUUCAUCCUUUAGAACUUUAUUAUCUAUCCAUUUAAACUAUCAUAGCCGUCAUGGUCAUUUUUCAAAAUGUGCUAUCCUUAUAAUAUCAGUGUCAAACAGAUGGAGAUUUAAAUCAUAUCAAUUAAAUCAUAUCACUAGCUUAACAAUCCUUACUAGCCUUGUUCAUGCAAUUUUAAUUUCAUCAUUGGCCCCAAACAUACGUACUAUCAAAGGCUCGAAUUAACAUGCAAUCCUAAAAUGCAACACUUAAUCACAUUAAUAAAGAUCCAAAUUAAAACCAUUAACAAUCUAAUAAUGCAAAAUAACAAUUAACUACCCCCAAACUUAACAAGAGCAAUGUCCUCAUGCGAAAGAUAUAACAAUAUAAAACAGAGGACUUCCCUGACGAGCUUAUUCCUCGGGUGGAGCAUCCUCAUCCUCGCUCAUCUCUUGAUCAGAAGGGGGAAACACAAGCAGAAUUGGAGCAGUGGGGAACUGGCUGAGAUUAUCACCCGGGAUUAACUGGGUGUUCAUGACAUUUUGAGCUGCAAACUGGUAGACCAAAUAUUUAUAGAUCACAUCUUGGCGUUCAGAUGGGCGGACAUUUUGGGCUUCCAGAUUGUAAAACCAUCCGUCUAUUUCACGUUGGACUGCUUCUGGAACUACACCACGGUGAGCUGCUAACGACGGACCAUAAGUAGGUGGAGCCUGAGGUGGUGGAGCUUAAGAAGCUUCGACUUGGGGAAUUAUGAAACCCAAUCCUCUAGGGUGAUUUG
This 1506-nucleotide long non-coding RNA is filed under the name Panax ginseng (ginseng). Its description in RNAcentral is "long non-coding RNA (PGIN_LNC014269)". Lineage: Eukaryota; Viridiplantae; Streptophyta; Magnoliopsida; Apiales; Araliaceae. The record is from RNAcentral.